RNAcentral lists this small RNA (193 nucleotides) under Sinorhizobium meliloti 2011. RNAcentral describes it as "putative ncRNA". The record is from RNAcentral. Lineage: Bacteria; Pseudomonadati; Pseudomonadota; Alphaproteobacteria; Hyphomicrobiales; Rhizobiaceae.
GACGUCGGCGCACAUGACGAGCACUUUGCCGCCCGUUUCCUUGUUAGCCUGCGCCGCACCGAUCGCGGAAUUGGCCUCAGGCAUGAAGACGGCGCCGAGAUUCGGGUUGGCCUGGAUGAGGCUCGUGAGCCCCUGAUAGGCCUUGUUCGGGUCCUGGUUGGAAGCGGCCCGGCCGACGAGCUUCAUGUCGGGC